GCCGGACCCAGCAGCGGCGGCAACGGCGGCGGCCGGGCAGGAUGAAGGACGGAAGCGGGGAGCUGCGCGCUGCUCUGCUUGUGUCGUGUCUUCCAAAGCUUGAGGAGAGCUGGUGCUGAGGGUGCUGCAUUAUAAAGAGCCAUCAGCUGCUGCGGAUGGGGGAAGAGCCUGAAGCUCUGCUCAACAUGCGAGAGCUCUGCUGUCCUGGCUCAGCAGGGCUCCACGGCCAGGGUGCUGCAGGGCCAGGAUGAGAUGCUUGAAUAAAUAAGUUGCAAUGUCAGAGACUGAGCUCUGUUUCCAAGAAGUAACAUCAGCCUUUGGGAACUGAAGGACUGCUUACAGGUCAUUGAUGUCCCAGAUCUCUUUUGGCAAAUGGGACUUCAGCUGGAAAGUCCUUCUCUGCAGGGCUGCCCUCCAUCCAUCCAUCCAUCCAUCCAUCCAUCCAUGCCCCAGUGUGUGCUGGUCCUGGGGAUUGCCCUGACCCAGGUACAGGACCUUGCACUUGGCCUGGUUGAACAUCAUGAGCUUCACAUGGACCCACUCCUCCAGCCUGUCCAGGUCCCUCUGGAUGCCAUCCCUUCCCUCCAGCGUAUCGACUGUACCACUCAGCUUGGUGUCAUCUGCAAACUUGCCGAGGGUGCACUCGAUCCCACUGUCUGUGUCGAUCAAGAUGUUGAGCAAGCCGUGGAAGUGGCAUUUGGCAGUUCCUGGUCCCAGAGUGCCCUGUUUCCAGCAAGACUCAAUUCCCUGCACUUGUUCCUGGUUGCUGAAGCAGUGAGACGAUGCCA
Long non-coding RNA from Aquila chrysaetos chrysaetos, 788 nucleotides. RefSeq lists it as uncharacterized. The record is from RefSeq and is a predicted model, not a curated record. The transcript is spliced from 3 exons. Lineage: Eukaryota; Metazoa; Chordata; Aves; Accipitriformes; Accipitridae.